AUUGAACGCUGGCGGCAUGAUUUACACAUGCAAGUCGAACGGUAACAGGCCGCAAGGUGCUGACGGGUGGCGAACGGGUGAGUAAUGCAUCGGAACGUGCCCAGUCGUGGGGGAUAACUACUCGAAAGAGUAGCUAAUACCGCAUACGAUCUAUGGAUGAAAGCGGGGGACCGUAAGGCCUCGCGCGAUUGGAGCGGCCGAUGUCAGAUUAGGUAGUUGGUGGGGUAAAGGCUCACCAAGCCAACGAUCUGUAGCUGGUCUGAGAGGACGACCAGCCACACUGGGACUGAGACACGGCCCAGACUCCUACGGGAGGCAGCAGUGGGGAAUUUUGGACAAUGGGCGCAAGCCUGAUCCAGCAAUGCCGCGUGCAGGAAGAAGGCCUUCGGGUUGUAAACUGCUUUUGUACGGAACGAAACGGCUCUGGUUAAUACCCGGGGCUAAUGACGGUACCGUAAGAAUAAGCACCGGCUAACUACGUG
RNAcentral lists this ribosomal RNA (482 nucleotides) under uncultured bacterium. RNAcentral's name for it is "partial 16S ribosomal RNA". It matches the Rfam family "Bacterial small subunit ribosomal RNA", at positions 30 to 507 of the family's 1533-position model. The record is from RNAcentral.